GCCUAUAUGAAGUCGGAAUUGCUAGUAAUCGCAGAUCAGCAUGCUGCGGUGAAUACGUUCCCGGGCCUUGUACACACCGCCCGUCACACCAUGAGAGUCGAUAACACCCGAAGCCUGUAGUCUAACCAUAAGGGGGACGCAGUCGAAGGUGGGAUUGAUAAUUAGGGUGAAGUCGUAACAAGGUAUC
Molecule: ribosomal RNA, 187 nt
Filed under: uncultured bacterium
Lineage: Bacteria
Description: partial 16S ribosomal RNA
Rfam family: Bacterial small subunit ribosomal RNA
Source: RNAcentral